Molecule: ribosomal RNA, 467 nt
Filed under: uncultured bacterium
Lineage: Bacteria
Description: partial 16S ribosomal RNA
Rfam family: Bacterial small subunit ribosomal RNA
Source: RNAcentral
GACGAACGCUGGCGGCGUGCUUAACACAUGCAAGUCGAACGGAAAGGCUCCAGCUUGCUGGCGUACUCGAGUGGCGAACGGGUGAGUAACACGUGGGUAAUCUGCCCUGCACUCUGGGAUAAGCCUGGGAAACUGGGUCUAAUACUGGAUAUGACCUUUCUCCUUAUGGGGUUUGGUGGAAAGUUUUUCGGUGUAGGAUGAGCCCGCGGCCUAUCAGCUUGUUGGUAGGGUGAUGGCCUACCAAGGCGACGACGGGUAGCCGGCCUGAGAGGAUGAUCGGCCACAUUGGGACUGAGAUACGGCCCAGACUCCUACGGGAGGCAGCAGUGGGGAAUAUUGCACAAUGGGCGGAAGCCUGAUGCAGCGACGCCGCGUGAGGGAUGACGGCCUUCGGGUUGUAAACCUCUUUCAGCAGGGACGAAGCGUAAGUGACGGUACCUGCAGAAGAAGCACCGGCUAACUAUGUG